Molecule: ribosomal RNA, 2904 nt
Filed under: Escherichia coli
Lineage: Bacteria; Pseudomonadati; Pseudomonadota; Gammaproteobacteria; Enterobacterales; Enterobacteriaceae
Description: bacterial LSU rRNA
Rfam family: Bacterial large subunit ribosomal RNA
Source: RNAcentral
UUAAGCGACUAAGCGUACACGGUGGAUGCCCUGGCAGUCAGAGGCGAUGAAGGACGUGCUAAUCUGCGAUAAGCGUCGGUAAGGUGAUAUGAACCGUUAUAACCGGCGAUUUCCGAAUGGGGAAACCCAGUGUGAUUCGUCACACUAUCAUUAACUGAAUCCAUAGGUUAAUGAGGCGAACCGGGGGAACUGAAACAUCUAAGUACCCCGAGGAAAAGAAAUCAACCGAGAUUCCCCCAGUAGCGGCGAGCGAACGGGGAGCAGCCCAGAGCCUGAAUCAGUGUGUGUGUUAGUGGAAGCGUCUGGAAAGGCGCGCGAUACAGGGUGACAGCCCCGUACACAAAAAUGCACAUGCUGUGAGCUCGAUGAGUAGGGCGGGACACGUGGUAUCCUGUCUGAAUAUGGGGGGACCAUCCUCCAAGGCUAAAUACUCCUGACUGACCGAUAGUGAACCAGUACCGUGAGGGAAAGGCGAAAAGAACCCCGGCGAGGGGAGUGAAAAAGAACCUGAAACCGUGUACGUACAAGCAGUGGGAGCACAGAGCAAUCUGUGUGACUGCGUACCUUUUGUAUAAUGGGUCAGCGACUUAUAUUCUGUAGCAAGGUUAACCGAAUAGGGGAGCCGAAGGGAAACCGAGUCUUAACUGGGCGUUAAGUUGCAGGGUAUAGACCCGAAACCCGGUGAUCUAGCCAUGGGCAGGUUGAAGGUUGGGUAACACUAACUGGAGGACCGAACCGACUAAUGUUGAAAAAUUAGCGGAUGACUUGUGGCUGGGGGUGAAAGGCCAAUCAAACCGGGAGAUAGCUGGUUCUCCCCGAAAGCUAUUUAGGUAGCGCCUCGUGAAUUCAUCUCCGGGGGUAGAGCACUGUUUCGGCAAGGGGGUCAUCCCGACUUACCAACCCGAUGCAAACUGCGAAUACCGGAGAAUGUUAUCACGGGAGACACACGGCGGGUGCUAACGUCCGUCGUGAAGAGGGAAACAACCCAGACCGCCAGCUAAGGUCCCAAAGUCAUGGUUAAGUGGGAAACGAUGUGGGAAGGCCCAGACAGCCAGGAUGUUGGCUUAGAAGCAGCCAUCAUUUAAAGAAAGCGUAAUAGCUCACUGGUCGAGUCGGCCUGCGCGGAAGAUGUAACGGGGCUAAACCAUGCACCGAAGCUGCGGCAGCGACGCUUAUGCGUUGUUGGGUAGGGGAGCGUUCUGUAAGCCUGUGAAGGUGUGCUGUGAGGCAUGCUGGAGGUAUCAGAAGUGCGAAUGCUGACAUAAGUAACGAUAAAGCGGGUGAAAAGCCCGCUCGCCGGAAGACCAAGGGUUCCUGUCCAACGUUAAUCGGGGCAGGGUGAGUCGACCCCUAAGGCGAGGCCGAAAGGCGUAGUCGAUGGGAAACAGGUUAAUAUUCCUGUACUUGGUGUUACUGCGAAGGGGGGACGGAGAAGGCUAUGUUGGCCGGGCGACGGUUGUCCCGGUUUAAGCGUGUAGGCUGGUUUUCCAGGCAAAUCCGGAAAAUCAAGGCUGAGGCGUGAUGACGAGGCACUACGGUGCUGAAGCAACAAAUGCCCUGCUUCCAGGAAAAGCCUCUAAGCAUCAGGUAACAUCAAAUCGUACCCCAAACCGACACAGGUGGUCAGGUAGAGAAUACCAAGGCGCUUGAGAGAACUCGGGUGAAGGAACUAGGCAAAAUGGUGCCGUAACUUCGGGAGAAGGCACGCUGAUAUGUAGGUGAAGUCCCUCGCGGAUGGAGCUGAAAUCAGUCGAAGAUACCAGCUGGCUGCAACUGUUUAUUAAAAACACAGCACUGUGCAAACACGAAAGUGGACGUAUACGGUGUGACGCCUGCCCGGUGCCGGAAGGUUAAUUGAUGGGGUUAGCGCAAGCGAAGCUCUUGAUCGAAGCCCCGGUAAACGGCGGCCGUAACUAUAACGGUCCUAAGGUAGCGAAAUUCCUUGUCGGGUAAGUUCCGACCUGCACGAAUGGCGUAAUGAUGGCCAGGCUGUCUCCACCCGAGACUCAGUGAAAUUGAACUCGCUGUGAAGAUGCAGUGUACCCGCGGCAAGACGGAAAGACCCCGUGAACCUUUACUAUAGCUUGACACUGAACAUUGAGCCUUGAUGUGUAGGAUAGGUGGGAGGCUUUGAAGUGUGGACGCCAGUCUGCAUGGAGCCGACCUUGAAAUACCACCCUUUAAUGUUUGAUGUUCUAACGUUGACCCGUAAUCCGGGUUGCGGACAGUGUCUGGUGGGUAGUUUGACUGGGGCGGUCUCCUCCUAAAGAGUAACGGAGGAGCACGAAGGUUGGCUAAUCCUGGUCGGACAUCAGGAGGUUAGUGCAAUGGCAUAAGCCAGCUUGACUGCGAGCGUGACGGCGCGAGCAGGUGCGAAAGCAGGUCAUAGUGAUCCGGUGGUUCUGAAUGGAAGGGCCAUCGCUCAACGGAUAAAAGGUACUCCGGGGAUAACAGGCUGAUACCGCCCAAGAGUUCAUAUCGACGGCGGUGUUUGGCACCUCGAUGUCGGCUCAUCACAUCCUGGGGCUGAAGUAGGUCCCAAGGGUAUGGCUGUUCGCCAUUUAAAGUGGUACGCGAGCUGGGUUUAGAACGUCGUGAGACAGUUCGGUCCCUAUCUGCCGUGGGCGCUGGAGAACUGAGGGGGGCUGCUCCUAGUACGAGAGGACCGGAGUGGACGCAUCACUGGUGUUCGGGUUGUCAUGCCAAUGGCACUGCCCGGUAGCUAAAUGCGGAAGAGAUAAGUGCUGAAAGCAUCUAAGCACGAAACUUGCCCCGAGAUGAGUUCUCCCUGACUCCUUGAGAGUCCUGAAGGAACGUUGAAGACGACGACGUUGAUAGGCCGGGUGUGUAAGCGCAGCGAUGCGUUGAGCUAACCGGUACUAAUGAACCGUGAGGCUUAACCUU